UACGUAGGCAGCGAGCGUUGUUCGGAGUUACUGGGCGUAAAGGGUGUGUAGGCGGUUGUUUAAGUUUGGUGUGAAAUCUCCCGGCUCAACUGGGAGGGUGCGCCGAAUACUGAAUGACUUGGAGUGCGGGAGAGGAAAGUGGAAUCCCUGGUGUAGCGGUGAAAUGCGUAGAUAUCAGGAGGAACACCGGUGGUGUAGACGGCUUUCUGGACCGUAACUGACGCUGAGACACGAAAGCGUGGGUAGCAAACAGG
This 254-nucleotide ribosomal RNA is filed under the name uncultured bacterium. Its description in RNAcentral is "partial 16S ribosomal RNA". It matches the Rfam family "Bacterial small subunit ribosomal RNA", at positions 524 to 776 of the family's 1533-position model. The record is from RNAcentral.